Molecule: long non-coding RNA, 706 nt
Organism: Antechinus flavipes (yellow-footed antechinus)
Lineage: Eukaryota; Metazoa; Chordata; Mammalia; Dasyuromorphia; Dasyuridae
Exons: 3
Source: RefSeq, a predicted model, not a curated record
UUUCCUCCAGGUGGAGCCUAGCUUCUACCCCAGCGUAUUGCGUAGGCGCCGGCGCCUAGGGGUGCGGAGGCGGGGCGGUGCCUAAGGUGGAGGGGAAAGAGGAGGAGCGGAAACCAUGACAACACCCUUCACUGGGCCUUGCUGUACUCGGCCCCCCUGUUGCCCCUAGCAACUGGGAGACUUUGGCCAGCAAUAAUGCAGAGAUUGGAUAAGAUUGAGACUGAGCAAGGUUGAAUGACUUGGGAAAGAUCAUACAGCUACAUUGGAAACCAUAUAUAGAAACUUCUCAAUCAUCAAGAUGUGUACUGUUUACAGAAUCUUCCUCACAAUAGAAGACUGGUUCUACAAAACCUUGUACUUGGGAAACUCAUGAAGGAACACAUCAAGCCAGAACUAGCCAAGAAAUUUCCCCUUUUUUUGGAUAGAAGCCUGGAUCCCAGUAUCAUGCUGCCUUAACUAAUCCCUCUUCUCUAGCCAAAAAGUCACAUUCUUUGACAUGGAGCAGAAGCUGGGAAAAUUAGAAUAGAUAUCAAUGUGAUGAAAUGAGAGGUGGAGAUUCACACUUUGUAUCUUUUGUAACAUCCAAUUAAUGGGGAAUCAGGGGAGGGACUUGCUUCAGAAUAAGAAAUAAAAGACUGCCUUUCCACUUUCAAAAAACGUGUACUUGUUCUUACAAGAAUAUAAAAUAAAAUCUUUCCAGCAUUCA